GCCAGUUUUUAGGGCCAAUUGACUGACUAAUCCAAGCUUGCCAGCUUGUGGCGGAAAAAUAGAUCCAAACACACAUGCUCCCACAUUUAUGUGAUGACUUUACUCGGGGCCCACACCAUCGCCCUCUGGCCCCUAUUCCUCCAUCCUGAUGAGAUUUCUGGUUGGUUUAUGGUUACAUGGCAACCAACCAGUGUACAUAACGCCUCCCACCCCCAGACCCCCUUAGCUGGGAGACCCCAUGCCCUUUGCCCUCUCCCUUCUUGCUGCCUGGAAGAUGGACCUGGUGCCUAGAGACACGGCAGCUGUCUUGACCAUGGGACACAGCCACGCCCUGAGGAUGGCCGUGCAGGGAGACAGAGGAGGCUGGUUCCUGAAUGAGCGCAUCAACCCCAGACCACUCGUCCACCCUGGACAACUUGUCAGCCAAAAAAUAUAUAGAAUAAUGAAAACGUCACUGGCACAGACUGAGAAAUCAAACAGCACAAAAAGAUACACGACAGACACUGAGUCCUUCACCAAAUGCAGAUCCCCAGGCCCAGCAACCCCGUGACCGAGUUUCUUGGGCGUCAUUCCAGAAAUGUUUCAGGGAUGAAGUGAGGAUCAAAUGAGUUAAAAGCUCGAGUUCUUCGGACUGUGACAGGCAGAGAAAAAGCGCUAAGUGCUGGCCGUUAAUAGUCUAGGUGGCCUUGGAAUCAAACCGAGGGGCCAGUUGCUUCUGCCGUGGUGGUGUUGUCCAAGGUCACCACCACAGCAUGGCUGAUGAGUGGUGUAGGUCUGUGGCCGGGAUCUGAACCUGUGAACCCUGGGCCACUGAAGCAGAAUGCACCAAACUUAACCACGAUGCCAUGGGGCCGGCCCCGAGAAUCUGCAUUUUUAAUGUGAUGAAUCUCAGUCAGGUGGUUGUGGACUAUGCUUAAAAAAACAGGCAAGUGGUCAUGGCAAUUACAUUUUUAAAAAUGAUCUUCAAUAGCUGGAUUCUUUCAUUUUCUCCAGAUUACCAGGCUGGUACCUACUUCACUUCCUCCCAGAGCUGUGGGUAGAAGAAAUAUAUGGGAAUCCAAAAUAAUGAUAUUUCAACUAGAGCUCUGUUGUGAUCUGAUACUUGCAAAAUACCCUAAUAAAAGCAAAUAUUACAGACAUUUGAAUAAUGCAAAGUAAAGUAUAUUUUGAAGAUGUUUUGAAAAUAAUGAUGCUAAUACGCUGCCUUGUUUGAAGUGAAGUAUGAGUGCUAUGCAAAGCUCUUUUGUUUAGGGAGACAAUGCUGCACGAUGACAUCAGAGGUACCCAAUAAUAUUUUCAGCAGAAUUUUGGAAUGUGUCACACGUCACAAACACAAAAGUGGAGUUGUUUUUACUUGAGUAUGAUGCAAAACAAAUUUAUUCUGGGUUUGAUAGCUUGAGAUGCCCUGUGUGUGGCACAGUGACACUAGCCAUCAGCACAUCUCUAUAUAUUUUGCACAAAUCUAAUAUUUGAAAAAUGAUCACUAUCUCCCACAUCCUGGGAAAAAUACAGAAAUCUCCAAGGUCUGCGUAAAUUAUUUCUAACUAGCUCGAGUGCCCUCAGUCCCUCCAUUCAUUUUCAUCCCCUUUUCCAUCUUUAGCUUCUCAACUCAUCUGUCGCAUGGAAAAUGUGAUAAUUAGGAAUACAAAAAGGUGUUUUGCAAAAUGCCUUGGAGAACCGGAAUCUGAUUUUCCAAUGAGAUUUUUAACACGCGAUUGUAUUCUUUUGAAUUCACCAGUUGCACAGAGAACACACAUUCACACAGCACUUCCGUACACACACACACACACACGGUUGCGUUUAUAUAUUUCAACGUUACAAGUGGUUAAGCUGACUCGUCAGUGUGGGUUUUCCUAUAAAUUCUUCAUUCUGUUGAUUCUAACCAGGCUCAGAGUCAAAAAUGAAAGCGACUUGACUCUAGAGAUCCUUUCUCUUCUAGACAAGAAGGAUGGCCCUGCGACCCCGGAGUCGCCAGGCAACCACUGUGCCUGCUGGUCCUCCUGCCUCCUGCUUCCCCCAGGCGUCAGGGCCACGGUCCAGGGAGGCCUGUGACACCAAGACAGCUCACCUGAGGCUACAGAUGUUCGCCAAAUGUACCCACGUCUGCUAUUCUCACCCAGGUGCCAUUAUCCACACCCUGGGUGUGAACUGAUUUUGCUUUUGGAGUGUAGAAAAAUAUGUGGAUGUGUGAAAAGUAAAGCAAACACUUGUUAUUCCAAAGUGUGAGCUUCAGCUGAGCUAAACAUAUGUAAAGUUAUAGUGGGAAGACCAGUGAACUAAAAUGAGUAGAGAUAGAACUUUCUAGAAAAAGAUCCUGGAUGGACUCCCUAUGAAACUUAUAUUUGUUUGAUUAAAAAAAAAAAAAACGACUGCAAUUACGCACAAAGCUUUCAGGCCCUUGUACCUGGCCUCCGUUCCCCUAAAUGAAUUGGUUUGCAGUGAUCAUUGGGAAGUCGUUCAUUCAACCAGCUAUUCAUCCAAGAAUUUACUGAGUGUGAGUUUGAAUUUAUUGAGUGUGAGUCAGGCACUGUGGCAUCCUCCUUGCUCAGUUUACAGUCUGUGGGGCACAAGCAAAUGCACACUUCUAAUAGAAGGAUUCGGAUUAUACUUGUGGUAAGGGCAGAGAGCCGACAAAAACAAAGGAAGGGCCUUCAGCCCAGGUGGCACAUCCAAGAAGACUUCCCAGGGCAGUCUGAUUAUCAGAGCAGAAUCCUGAAGGGAUAAAAAUAGUCAGAAGUCACGGCGCUUAUCUGCAUGCAACAGAAAUCAGCAAUGGCUGAUUCUCCCGAAAAGGGACUCAUUAAAGGAUAACUGAGUAAUUCACCAGAGGGCUGGGAGAGAGGAGGAACCACGCCCAAUGCUGAGUGUCCAGAAGUGGCCUGAUGAGGCAUGUGCCACCGCAUUGGGCUCACCAACCACCGGGGGAACUGCCACGGCCCUAUGUGCCCAGUGAUGCCACAGCUCGCCCUGUGACCACUGCUGCCCUGAGUGCUGGCUGCUUCUGCCACCAUUCUCGCCGCCUUCUGCAAGUUGCUGAUGUCUGAAUCAGAGAGCCACACGGUGGCAGCUAGUCACACAUCUGCAUUCAGCUGCAAGGGAAGUUUUGAGUUUGCUGGGCACCCAGAAAAUGUAAAAAAGCCACAGACACAGUGAGGAGGGUGGCCUGGAUAGAAACAGCCCCCCGUGCAAAGAGCCAGGGAAACAGUUUCAUCUUCUAUCUCCCUUAUUCGUCCAACAACCCAAGUCUUGAGAAACGCACAGAUGUUUGUCAUUGGCCAACCUUUUACUUUGCCAAAAAAGGCAUGAAAAUGACAACUACUGCUGCAAUUUAUUAUCAUUAUCA
Equus caballus (horse) is the source of this 3343-nucleotide long non-coding RNA. The record is from Ensembl. Lineage: Eukaryota; Metazoa; Chordata; Mammalia; Perissodactyla; Equidae.